Non-coding RNA from Camelina sativa (false flax), 692 nucleotides. The record is from RefSeq and is a predicted model, not a curated record. Lineage: Eukaryota; Viridiplantae; Streptophyta; Magnoliopsida; Brassicales; Brassicaceae.
UUCAUCUUUAUCAACGAGUUUAAGAAUCGCUGAGAAGCGUCGACGUGCUCAAAUAUUGUUGGGUGAGGGGAAAAAAGAUCGAUAAUUUUUUCUUCCUCCUCUCUCUCUCUUUGUCCGACGGCAGAUAUCAACGGCGACUCUAGUGCAUGUAAUCCGCAAAUUUUUUUUUUGAAAUCGGAGAGUCACAUUCACCAAAUCGAAGAGUCACAGUCACAUUCUCCGGUUUGCACAUACACGUUGGAGGAGGAACAUGAAAGGUUUAUACUUUUUUCGGAAUCUAUAUACGUUAGGUUGGGAUUUCAUCUGGAGCUGCUGCAGUAGCAGCAAUCAGCUUGGCUAAAAUAGAAGAGAAUGCUGGAAAACUUAUCACGUUCCAUCCACAAAGAGAUACAAGAGAUGAGAUAUUAGUAGCAGCAAUUAGAAAAGCCCCCUCAAGUUUGGUCCUUGGGGAGAUUGUAAACAAUAAUUCUCUUUCUUGGUGAACUUGAAGUGGUUCUGGAGGCAAUACAGACUGUUAAGUUUCAACGCUGUAUGGUCCCUCUGUUCCAACAGGUUGCUCGAUGCCUCAGUAGCUCCAAUUUUCAAUUUUUGUCUCAGAUCUUGAUGAGUUUAUAAUGAAGCGAGGAAGAAAGAGAUGGAAUCAAUUUGAUUCAGUUGUUUCGGGCUUUUUAUUUGGUGAAGAUUACAGUUUG